GCAGAUGUAGCCCAGUUGGUAGGGCGCUUGCCUAGCACACACAGGCCCUGGGUUUGAAACCCAGCGCUGCA
Molecule: transfer RNA, 71 nt
Filed under: Mesocricetus auratus (golden hamster)
Lineage: Eukaryota; Metazoa; Chordata; Mammalia; Rodentia; Cricetidae
Rfam family: tRNA
About the family: Transfer RNA (tRNA) molecules are approximately 80 nucleotides in length. Their secondary structure includes four short double-helical elements and three loops (D, anti-codon, and T loops).
Source: Rfam by way of RNAcentral